AUUGAACGCUGGCGGCAGGCCUAACACAUGCAAGUCGAACGGUAGCACAGAGAGCUUGCUCUUGGGUGACGAGUGGCGGACGGGUGAGUAAUGUCUAGGAAACUGCCCGAUGGAGGGGGAUAACUACUGGAAACGGUAGCUAAUACCGCAUAACGUCUUCGGACCAAAGUGGGGGACCUUCGGGCCUCACACCAUCGGAUGUGCCCAGAUGGGAUUAGCUAGUAGGUGGGGUAACGGCUCACCUAGGCGACGAUCCCUAGCUGGUCUGAGAGGAUGACCAGCCACACUGGAACUGAGACACGGUCCAGACUCCUACGGGAGGCAGCAGUGGGGAAUAUUGCACAAUGGGCGCAAGCCUGAUGCAGCCAUGCCGCGUGUAUGAAGAAGGCCUUCGGGUUGUAAAGUACUUUCAGUGGGGAGGAAGGCGAUGGAGUUAAUAGCUUCGUCGAUUGACGUUACCCGCAGAAGAAGCACCGGCUAACUCCGUGUCAGCAGCCGCGGUAAUACGGAGGGUGCAAGCGUUAAUCGGAAUUACUGGGCGUAAAGCGCACGCAGGCGGUCUGUCAAGUCGGAUGUGAAAUCCCCGGGCUCAACCUGGGAACUGCAUUCGAAACUGGCAGGCUAGAGUCUUGUAGAGGGGGGUAGAAUUCCAGGUGUAGCGGUGAAAUGCGUAGAGAUCUGGAGGAAUACCGGUGGCGAAGGCGGCCCCCUGGACAAAGACUGACGCUCAGGUGCGAAAGCGUGGGGAGCAAACAGGAUUAGAUACCCUGAUAGUCCACGCCGUAAACGAUGUCGACUUGGAGGUUGUGCCCUUGAGGCGUGGCUUCCGGAGCUAACGCGUUAAGUCGACCGCCUGGGGAGUACGGCCGCAAGGUUAAAACUCAAAUGAAUUGACGGGGGCCCGCACAAGCGGUGGAGCAUGUGGUUUAAUUCGAUGCAACGCGAAGAACCUUACCUGGCCUUGACAUCCACGGAAUUUGGCAGAGAUGCCUUAGUGCCUUCGGGAACCGUGAGACAGGUGCUGCAUGGCUGUCGUCAGCUCGUGUUGUGAAAUGUUGGGUUAAGUCCCGCAACGAGCGCAACCCUUAUCCUUUGUUGCCAGCGAGU
Molecule: ribosomal RNA, 1107 nt
Filed under: Enterobacteriaceae bacterium symbiont of Sitobion miscanthi
Lineage: Bacteria; Pseudomonadati; Pseudomonadota; Gammaproteobacteria; Enterobacterales; Enterobacteriaceae
Description: bacterial SSU rRNA
Rfam family: Bacterial small subunit ribosomal RNA
Source: RNAcentral